This 374-nucleotide ribosomal RNA is filed under the name uncultured bacterium. Its description in RNAcentral is "bacterial SSU rRNA". It matches the Rfam family "Bacterial small subunit ribosomal RNA", at positions 524 to 898 of the family's 1533-position model. The record is from RNAcentral.
UACGUAGGGUGCGAGCGUUAAUCGGAAUUACUGGGCGUAAAGCGUGCGCAGGCGGCUUUGCAAGACAGAUGUGAAAUCCCCGGGCUCAACCUGGGAACUGCAUUUGUGACUGCAAGGCUAGAGUACGGCAGAGGGGGAUGGAAUUCCGCGUGUAGCAGUGAAAUGCGUAGAUAUGCGGAGGAACACCAAUGGCGAAGGCAAUCCCCUGGGCCUGUACUGACGCUCAUGCACGAAAGCGUGGGGAGCAAACAGGAUUAGAUACCCUGGUAGUCCACGCCCUAAACGAUGUCAACUGGUUGUUGGACGGCUUGCUGUUCAGUAACGAAGCUAACGCGUGAAGUUGACCGCCUGGGGAGUACGGCCGCAAGGUUGAA